Molecule: transfer RNA, 368 nt
Filed under: uncultured Microcystis sp.
Lineage: Bacteria; Bacillati; Cyanobacteriota; Cyanophyceae; Chroococcales; Microcystaceae
Description: partial 16S-23S ribosomal RNA intergenic spacer
Rfam family: tRNA (bases 134-207)
Source: RNAcentral
AAAGGGAGACCUAAUUCGGGUAUGGGAUGAAAAAAAAGUAGUCCCUACCAAGAAUCAAUCCCAAAAGGUCGGAGCGAGGCAUAAGGCUUUCAAACUAGGUUCUGGGUUCACACAAGACCUGAAUCAGGAACAAGGGCUAUUAGCUCAGGUGGUUAGAGCGCACCCCUGAUAAGGGUGAGGUCCCUGGUUCGAGUCCAGGAUGGCCCACCUGCACAGGUGGCAAAAACAAGAGAAGCGAGGAAUCAGCACCUUAUCUUAUCUAUAUAUAAAUACAAGUAAGAGAGAAUGCUGGCUCUGAGUAAAGAGUCCAGAGGAACCUUGAAAACUGCAUAGAGCUAGGUGAAAAAGCCAAAAAAGAAGACCGCAAG